Mastomys coucha (southern multimammate mouse) is the source of this 645-nucleotide long non-coding RNA. RefSeq lists it as uncharacterized. The transcript has 2 exons. Lineage: Eukaryota; Metazoa; Chordata; Mammalia; Rodentia; Muridae. The record is from RefSeq and is a predicted model, not a curated record.
GCCAACAGUGGGGCCAACAGUUUGUUAUGUGAAAAAUGUGAGCAGGAAGGAGAGCAGCGCUUUCCCUCAGAGGCUUUGGCUGUAGAGGAGGUUUUCACUAACCACUUCUUUUCACUGUUGACUGGAUGACAGUGUCGCCCUGACUAGAGUCAUUAGAGACUUCCCUGUGUGCAUUAUCAGCCCCAGUCCCAACUCUCUGACUUUCUGGGCAAGGCACACAUGCUCAGCACUCCACUGACCAGAGCUUCAAGAACCAUUUUUAAGAAUGGCAGAGAAGCAGGAGCUGAUAAGUAACACACCUCCCGAAUCAGAACUGGAAGCUCCGAGCUGCCAGAAGACUUGGAAUGGCCCCGGGAUGCAGCCAUGUGUUUGAAGGAAUGGUCAAACUACUAUGAUCCAUGAUGAAAGGAAGAAGACACCAGGAGUGAUUAAGCAAGCCGUUUCCAUCUUCUUCGAGUCACCUCUGUGUGCCAAGAAUGGGAAGAUUGUUCUAGAGAGAAAUCUGCUCAGCCAAGCCAGGCUGCCAGGCUCGCUUCCUUGUCCCCCCACAAAGCUGCAUGGUGCAGCUCCUGCAGCUUCCAGAGCUGUGGGUGUAAAUCACCCGUGACGAGGAACAGCACAUAAAACUACGGAUUUGAUAACCCA